CUUUCCGCGCAAAACCCGCGCUGCCAUUUUAGGGGCAAAGGGAAACUCCCUCGGUUGGGAGGGGUUGUGUGCCAUGGUAGCGUUCGGCUGGCGCCAUGUUGGGAGGUCGCGGCCGGCCAGGCCUCGAAGGGACCGGUCGCCAUCCGCCCGACGCCUCUCUGGGGUCCCUGCCACCCAAGAACCCUGAAAUACACACGAAAAGAAUAUAAGGGCGCGGUCGCCUAAAUGGAACCGAUCCCCCCCCCCCACCGCCAUCGUUAUAGAUCGCCUGAGUGUCCCUCAAAACAGCCGAAAACCAAGCCUCCGAAAACCUCUGGCAAUACACAGGCCCGCGACAUCUCCUUACCUGUGCGGGCUUUCGGGCCCCUGGGGUGCUUGUAUUCGGGAAGAGGGGGGCUGCUGCUGCUGCUGCCGCCGCUGUUGCUACUGUUAAGCCGCUAGGCCCAGGCCACGGUACCGCCCAGCCCGAAUUUCGGGCUCCGAGGGCGGAUAGGCCCGAGCGAAUCUAAAAGAAACAAUGGGAUUAGAGGAGCCCGCGCGGAAGUUCAGGACGGCGGCUUCGGCAGCUCAGGAUCCACCCCUGCGACAGCUUCGGCAAGCUCUGUGAAAUGGCGGCCGCUGCUUCCUCGUACUCACAUCCACCAACACACAUACACACACACAAACACACGGGGCCUCACAGAGCUCCCAGCACGGGCUCUCGCGAGAAGCUGUCCCUAGUUCCAGACCGGAGCAGCCAAAAUAUCGCGAGACGUAAGCACGGCCCCAGCGACCAUGGCCCAAUCUCGCGCAAUGAUUGCGCCACAGAUAUUCCCAUCCCCCACUUAGAGCGGCGCCUUUGACACCCUCUCCACAUAGACGUCCGUAUCUCGCGAGACCGCGCAAGAAGCUAGAGCAAAGACAGUUGGUACACUUCCCGUCAAUCUUUCUAAAAACUGAACGCUGAGUGGAGCUCGGUGGUUUCCUCCUCCUUGUGGCGCCUCCUCACAGCUAUCUGAAGGUUUCUCUCCCAGAGCUGACCGCCGCUCCCCUCCCCCGGGCCUCCCACCCUGGUGUCUGUCAAGGUCGCCAUAAAGCAAUUUGUCCAUAUGGCGACAGAAUAUAACGAAAACUGCCCUCUAUAGAUUAACCUCCAAGGGUGAAAAAGUGAAAAGCGUGUAAGAAAGAAGCCAAGAGGAGACUGUAGGGGGCUAUGGGUGUAGAAUAAAAAUUAGAUUCUCCGGCCUUUUGGAGCCAGUGGGCUACGCUCGGCUGACUAAACACCCUUGGAAAUAGUGGAGAAAGGCAAAGAGAAGGUGAAGAAACAAAGUGCUUCCCUUGGCAAUGGAUCAGCUUUGUGCCUCGGAUUUGAUACUCCGGCCUUGUGUCAGGGUUCCUAUUGUUUUCUUCAAAAAUGUCCCCCAUUCCCCGGGUACUUGACUUCUAGCCCUUCAAGUUUCCCAGAUACCUGACAGUAUAAAAACAUCACAUUUCUCUGGUCAACACUGAAAAAGAAGAGGCAGCCGAGAGGUUGUUGACUAUAGGCUUUCUCCUCCAUGAUAAAAAUAUUUGAAAAAAAAUUUUUUUGAAAAAGUUAAGAGGACUUAAGGGGGGAAAAAUCUUACAGUUAAGUCUAUUAAGAGCUUAAUGAUUGAGGGUAAAGAUAGACAUGAGAGAUAAUUUGGCUCUUGUAGCUGCUCCAACACCUUGUGACCUUGGACAAGUAAAUUAAUCUCUCAAAGCCUAUCCUCCAUUUCCUUUUAUGAAGAAGGGAGGCGGUAGCAUAAUUACUAGGCUAAGCUUCGUGAAACUGACCUAAGCUGAUAAUGCUCACUGUUGAAUUCUCAGUGUUUAGUUAGCUUGGUGCCCAGCCAGGUGGACACUCAAUAAGUGAAUGAAGACCUCCUAGAAGCAUAGUGACGAUUAAAUGAGAUAAUGUCCAUAAAGUACCUGGCAAAUAUUUAAUUCUCAGAAAAGGGCCCAGAGGCAGAAUGCUGUAGGGCUGAAACUGGCUCAUGAUUGAAGUCCAAUAAAUGGUGGUCGAGUGGAAAAAAAAUCUGUUAAUGGAAGCAAAAAGAAAUGCAGUCAAACCUUAACAUUGCAAAAGAUUUGGGAUUUAAGCAAAUCUAGCAAUAGGAAGAUCCUGCUGACAAGGCAUCACAAGAUGGAUAUACACCUUGAAAAUGUUGGAUGAAAAACAAAAGCAACAAUCCACAAUGAUUUUGAAUGAGAGCAUGUGAUUACAUGAUAUGAGUGAAUGGGCUUAUACAAUGAAUAGCCCAGAAAAAAAGGAUGUAUUUAGUAGGCUCAUUCUUUUCUGGAGCUGGAAAAAAUAGGUUCUUAACAAUUAUUUUCUGGAGGAGGCCCAAAGAAACAUUAUUUGUCUAAAUAUCUCUAAAUAAUUAGGUCCUAUCUCCUUAUAUAAGUGAAGCAUCUGAGUUGGAAUAUAUGCAGCAUGAACAUGA
Long non-coding RNA from Canis lupus familiaris (dog), 2444 nucleotides. RefSeq lists it as uncharacterized. NCBI's taxonomy places the organism in Eukaryota, Metazoa, Chordata, Mammalia, Carnivora, Canidae. The transcript has 2 exons. The record is from RefSeq and is a predicted model, not a curated record.